UCGUUCCAUGCCUACAUUGGCCCCAUGGAAGGCCUCGCAUGUUGCCUCCGUGUGCUUGUAAGGAGAUGCCUCCGUAUGAGUCACAGUUCGAUGUGUGUGGUCAUAUCAUGGCGAGCCUGAUGGCAUGUGAGUGGUGUUUGGGUUUUAUGGGUUGAUAGGCUCCUCGCUCGUGCGACGAACUGUCACCCCCAACCGCAUUUCAUUGUAAGCCUUGGGCGCUCCGUUGGGGGACCUGGGCACCGUGAAAGUCGGGUUCCUGUGUUGUGUUCCUACUGUGAUGGAAUUGUCCCUUUAAGGUUGCCUUUCCCCCGCCCUGCUUUGCGAUUGCAAUGCGGACGGGACUCUGUAGCGGUCCUCGUGGUCCUCGGUCGCCCCGAACAUGCGAGCAUGGGAGGAGGUGUGCCGUGGCCCAUGACGUCCGCCGGUUCUCUCGGAUGCGGAACGUUAAGCCGAGCGAGUUGGAUCCCCAACGGAAGCUCGAACUAAGCGUUAUUCGCCGUUGCGAACGACAGCGUUCACCGCCUUGCCCUC
Molecule: unclassified non-coding RNA, 531 nt
Filed under: Cissus discolor
Lineage: Eukaryota; Viridiplantae; Streptophyta; Magnoliopsida; Vitales; Vitaceae
Description: partial external transcribed spacer
Source: RNAcentral